Molecule: ribosomal RNA, 383 nt
Filed under: uncultured organism
Description: partial 16S ribosomal RNA
Rfam family: Bacterial small subunit ribosomal RNA
Source: RNAcentral
AGAGGUGGCAAGCGUUGUUCGGAAUUACUGGGCGUAAAGGGCGCGCAGGCGGUUCGCCAAGUCCCGUGUGAAAUCCCCCCGGCUCAACUGGGGAACUGCGCGGGAAACUAGCGGGCUUGAGUUCGGGAGAGGAAAGCGGAAUUCCGGGUGUAGCGGUGAAAUGCGCAGAUAUCCGGAGGAACACCAGUGGCGAAGGCGGCUUUUCUGGACCGACACUGACGCUGAGGCGCGAAAGCUAGGGGAGCGAACGGGAUUAGAUACCCCGGGUAGUCCUAGCCCUAAACGUUGAGCACUGGGUUGUAGGGGGUUAUGAACCCCCCCCCCCGUGUGCCCGAAGCUAACCGCAUUAAGUGCUCCGCCUGGGGAGUACGGUCGCAAGGCUG